Molecule: non-coding RNA, 642 nt
Organism: Erythranthe guttata (spotted monkey flower)
Lineage: Eukaryota; Viridiplantae; Streptophyta; Magnoliopsida; Lamiales; Phrymaceae
Source: RefSeq, a predicted model, not a curated record
CAAGUGCUUGUUUGCUCUUGUCAUGUUUAGAAUAAUUUCAUGAAGUUCCUCAUUGUACAAUUGCAUCUUUUCAUUAGCAGCCUCCAUUGACUUUAUCUUUUCAUUCUUCUCAUCCAAAAAUUUCAACAAGCCUUGCCCAAUCUCCAGCCCCUUUGGACAAAUCUCAGGCUCCAACCACUGAAACCUGCAAAUCUUCUUCCUGGAUUGAGAGGAGUCCAAGCUGUUCGAGUUACAGCAUUUUUAUGGCACUUGCAUGUUGUGCCUAAAAAAAUAGACAAAUAGUGUCGUGAUUUGUGACAUGAAUGACAAUAAUCUUGUGAAUUUGAGCUAUUACUCGACAUUUUUCAAUAUUUAACAAAAAAAAGGAAUAUUAACGUGCUUUAUAAGAAGGAAAAAAGAAGGGGAAAAAUGGAAAAUGAAGAAAUUUAGAGAAUUUUUUUUCAAUAUUUAACAAAAUAAAGGGAUAUUAACGUGCUUUAUAAGAAGGAAAAAAGAAGGGAAAAAAUGGAAAAUGAAGAAAUUUAGAGAAAAAAUGAUGAAGAAAAAAGUUUUUGAAAACCUCUAUAACCCACACAAACAUAUAUAUACUAGUAUGAGGGGCAAAAGGGUCAAAAAAUGUUCCAACGGGUAUAAAAACGGCUA